Molecule: ribosomal RNA, 210 nt
Filed under: uncultured bacterium
Lineage: Bacteria
Description: partial 16S ribosomal RNA
Rfam family: Bacterial small subunit ribosomal RNA
Source: RNAcentral
GUGAGUAACACGUAGGAACGUACCCCAAAGUGAGGCAUAAGCACCAGAAAUGGUGUCUAAUACCGCAUGUGCUCUUCGGAGUAAAGCUACGGCGCUUUGGGAACGGCCUGCGCAUGAUUAGCUUGUUGGUGAGGUAAUAGCUCACCAAGGCGACGAUCAUUAGCUGGUCUGAGAGGAUGACCAGCCAGACUGGGACUGAGAACGGCCCAG